Talpa occidentalis (Iberian mole) is the source of this 183-nucleotide non-coding RNA. RefSeq annotates it as small Cajal body-specific RNA 16. The record is from RefSeq and is a predicted model, not a curated record. Lineage: Eukaryota; Metazoa; Chordata; Mammalia; Eulipotyphla; Talpidae. The transcript has a single exon.
CUGGUCUGGGGAAAGGCUCCUGUGUGGCUGGACCCGCCCAGCGGCGGGCGCGGCCCCGUACCAGGCAGCCCCACCCUGACCUACAGUAAAUGCCCGGGAGUCUGUCCCGGGCUGGAAUUUGCAGUAACAGGUGUGAACAUUCUAGCAGCAGCUUGAUGGUCAUGUAUGAUACUGCAAACAGCG